This is a long non-coding RNA of Macadamia integrifolia, 646 nucleotides long. RefSeq lists it as uncharacterized. The record is from RefSeq and is a predicted model, not a curated record. NCBI's taxonomy places the organism in Eukaryota, Viridiplantae, Streptophyta, Magnoliopsida, Proteales, Proteaceae. The transcript is spliced from 2 exons.
CUUCGUCGAGCGCAUCUUCACGCAAUCAGAGAUCACUCACUUCCUUCAGUGGCACACGAGUUGCUCCUUCAAUUUUCUCCAUCUUCAAACUUCGAUUGCUUCGAUUAGCCUUCGCACGAUCGAUUCAAGCAUUGUUCUCUCCAGUGGGUUGCCGCCUCCAAUCGAUCCUGGUGGCCAUUCCUUCAUCAUCGCCAAAUUCAACAUACAAAACCCUGGAUAUACAAAGGUAAAAUCAAAUCUGAAUGUGUCCCCUUCCCUGUAAUUGAAUUUCUCGUUUUGAUGCGUCUUUAAUUGAAGCUCUUCAAUUUUCAUUUGUUUUUUGUUGAAGUAUUCUAUUGGUUUUGAAAUUUCAGUAUGAUAUGUUGGUUCCUUGUUUUGGGAAUUCUAAUUGUUGCUAUACUGUUUUUGGGUUUUGAAUCUUUUGGUGGAAGAUCUUUGGAUUGCUCAGUUUUAAUCCUCGAGAGCUUGUUUUUUAGUGAGAUUCUUCUCUUGUAAUGCUUAAUGAGAAGUUGUAUUUUUUUUUUUCUUUCAUUUGAACCGUCUCUGUGUUGAAGCCCUUUAUCGUAAGCUUGUUUAGGACUGAAAUUUGAAGAUAUGCAUGGCCACUAUUGAAUGAAUCGUAACUAAAAGUGUGUUCUUCUUUUUA